Pan troglodytes (chimpanzee) is the source of this 4339-nucleotide RNA transcript. It is a transcript of the gene named PHD finger protein 21A, with no coding region annotated. The transcript is spliced from 20 exons. Lineage: Eukaryota; Metazoa; Chordata; Mammalia; Primates; Hominidae. The record is from RefSeq and is a predicted model, not a curated record.
GCUGCGGCCCGGGGCCGGGUGGUGAAUGGGCUGGUGGUGCUCGCUGCUGCUGCUGAGAGGAGGAGGAGGAUGAAGAGUUGGGCUUGUUUGUCUCCUACAGUUUCUCUCCUGCUGCUCUGAUUCCCCCCUCCCGAUUCCGGCCCGGGGCCUGUGUGUGUCCCUCCUGGAGGAGGAGGAGGAUCCAGUUCCUCCCCCCAACCCCCUCCUCCCCACCCCCCCUUGCCUGGGGAAGAGGAGGAAAGAAACAGCCCAGAGAGAGAGAGAGAGAGAGAGAGUGAGUGAGAGAGAGGAGAGGAGAGGAGGAGGAGGAGGAGGAGGGAGAAGGGAACAACCUACCAUCUUAACACACUAAUAUCUAAAAAGUGCGAGAGGCCCAGAGCAGCAGCAGAAGCAGCAGCAGCAGCUCCAGCUUCUUCCCUCCCUCCCCAUGAAGAAGAGUUCCCUCCUCCUCCUCCUCCUGCUUCUCCUGCUCAGAGUUCCUGCCUCCAGCUGCCAGGGGGGACAGCCAGCCAGCAGCAGGAGGGGGGCUAGAGAGCUGAAGGAGAGCCAGUUUCCCCAAAAUUGGACUUCUCAGAACCUUUAAUAUGCUAAUGUGCAUUGUGAAUCUCCAAGAGGGGGAUAUGAUAUGCAGCAUUCUUGAAUACUUCUAAUGACAGGGAGCCCACUACCUCAUAAGCUGCAGUGAGAAGAGGAGUUUGUUACUUUAAACAGAGGCUGAAGAAACUAUAGAAUUAGCAGAGAAAGUGGAGAAGGUAGAGGAUGGAGUUGCAGACUCUACAGGAGGCUCUUAAAGUGGAAAUUCAGGUUCACCAGAAACUGGUUGCUCAAAUGAAGCAGGAUCCACAGAAUGCUGACUUAAAGAAACAGCUUCAUGAACUCCAAGCCAAAAUCACAGCUUUGAGUGAGAAACAGAAAAGAGUAGUUGAACAGCUACGGAAGAACCUGAUAGUAAAGCAAGAACAACCGGACAAGUUCCAAAUACAGCCAUUGCCACAAUCUGAAAACAAACUACAAACAGCACAGCAGCAACCACUACAGCAACUACAACAACAGCAGCAGUACCACCACCACCACGCCCAGCAGUCAGCUGCAGCCUCUCCCAACCUGACUGCUUCACAGAAGACUGUAACUACAGCUUCUAUGAUUACCACAAAGACACUACCUCUCGUCUUGAAAGCAGCAACUGCGACCAUGCCUGCCUCUGUGGUGGGCCAGAGACCUACCAUUGCUAUGGUGACCGCCAUCAACAGUCAGAAGGCUGUGCUCAGCACUGAUGUGCAGAACACACCAGUCAACCUCCAGACGUCUAGUAAGGUCACUGGGCCUGGGGCAGAGGCUGUCCAAAUUGUGGCAAAAAACACAGUCACUCUGCAGGUUCAGGCAACACCUCCUCAGCCCAUCAAAGUACCACAGUUUAUCCCCCCUCCUAGACUCACUCCACGUCCAAACUUUCUUCCACAGGUUCGACCCAAGCCUGUGGCCCAGAAUAACAUUCCUAUUGCCCCAGCACCACCUCCCAUGCUCGCAGCUCCUCAGCUUAUCCAGAGGCCUGUCAUGCUGACCAAGUUCACCCCCACAACCCUUCCCACAUCCCAGAAUUCCAUCCACCCCGUCCGUGUCGUCAAUGGGCAGACUGCAACCAUAGCCAAAACGUUCCCCAUGGCCCAGCUCACCAGCAUUGUGAUAGCUACUCCAGGGACCAGACUCGCUGGACCUCAAACUGUACAGCUUAGCAAGCCAAGUCUUGAAAAACAGACAGUUAAAUCUCACACAGAAACAGAUGAGAAACAAACAGAGAGCCGCACCAUCACCCCACCUGCUGCACCCAAACCAAAACGGGAGGAGAACCCUCAGAAACUUGCCUUCAUGGUGUCUCUAGGGUUGGUAACACAUGACCAUCUAGAAGAAAUCCAAAGCAAGAGGCAAGAGCGAAAAAGAAGAACAACAGCAAAUCCGGUCUACAGUGGAGCAGUCUUUGAGCCAGAGCGUAAGAAGAGUGCAGUGACAUACCUAAACAGCACAAUGCACCCUGGGACCCGGAAGAGAGGUCGUCCUCCAAAAUACAAUGCAGUGCUGGGGUUUGGAGCCCUUACCCCAACAUCCCCCCAAUCCAGUCAUCCUGACUCCCCUGAAAAUGAAAAGACAGAGACCACAUUCACUUUCCCUGCACCUGUUCAGCCUGUGUCCCUGCCCAGCCCCACCUCCACAGACGGUGAUAUUCAUGAGGAUUUUUGCAGCGUUUGCAGAAAAAGUGGCCAGUUACUGAUGUGCGACACAUGUUCCCGUGUAUAUCAUUUGGACUGCUUAGACCCCCCUCUGAAAACAAUUCCCAAGGGCAUGUGGAUCUGUCCCAGAUGUCAGGACCAGAUGCUGAAGAAGGAAGAAGCAAUUCCAUGGCCUGGAACUUUAGCAAUUGUUCAUUCCUAUAUUGCCUACAAAGCAGCAAAAGAAGAGGAGAAACAGAAGUUACUUAAAUGGAGUUCAGAUUUAAAACAAGAACGAGAACAACUAGAGCAAAAGGUGAAACAGCUCAGCAAUUCCAUAAGUUCACCUGAGCGAGUGGGCCCAUCCAUACGGCCCUCCCUCGCUCUUUCUUCCACACCAUGCUGAUUGCAUUUCCCGGUUUUCCUGACCAGUGUGAGGAAGCGGGCUUUCUAGAGACAAGUAUUGGAAAAAUGCAUGGAAAUGAAGAACACCAUCCUGGCCCGGCAGAAGGAGAUGCACAGCUCCCUGGAGAAGGUAAAACAGCUGAUUCGCCUCAUCCACGGCAUCGACCUCUCCAAACCUGUAGACUCUGAGGCCACUGUGGGGGCCAUCUCCAAUGGCCCGGACUGCACCCCCCCUGCCAAUGCCGCCACCUCCACGCCGGCCCCUUCCCCCUCCUCCCAGAGCUGCACAGCGAACUGUAACCAGGGGGAAGAGACUAAAUAACAGAGCCCCUCUAGGAGAAGCCACGGGAUCCCGGCGGCAAGGAGAACAGAACACUGAAGACUCUAGAAAAGCAAAGCCGGAUUUCUGGAAAGUGCAGAAUUCUUUUGGUUCUUUGGUUCCAGAGAGAGAGAAGAUGCUUGUGCCAGGUGGCACCAGAGUUUGCCAAUUGAUCCUUCUUAUUCUGUGUGUACAUGCAAAGAUUGGACCAUGUUACAUGAAAUAGUGCCAGCUGGAGGUUCUUUGCCAGCACCAUGCCAAGUGAAAUAAUAUAUUUACUCUCUCUAUUAUACACCAGUGUGUGCCUGCAGCAGCCUCCACAGCCACGAUGGGUUUGUUUCUGUUUUCUUGGGUGGGGAGCAGGGACGGGCGGAGGGAGGAGAGCAGGUUUCAGAUCCUUACUUGCCGAGCCGUUUGUUUAGGUAGAGAAGACAAGUCCAAAGAGUGUGUGGGCUUUCCUGUUUCUAAACUUUCGCUACUAUAAAACCAAAAAAAGGAAUUGAGAUUUCACCAACCCCAGUGCCCAGAAGAGGGAAGGGGAGUGGCUGGAGGGAGCAGGGGGUGGGACAGUGUAUCAAAUAAGCAGUAUUUAAUCACCUCUGGCGGGGGCCUCGUGCAAGGGGAGACUGACACCAAGAACAGCCAGUAGGUUCUUCUCCCCUGCACUCUGCUCCCUGCGCGGUAACCCCACCACUCCUGAAGGCUGCCCAGUCUCCUUCCUUCCCUGCUUGGUGAAUCGCGCAUCUCCGUGGUUAUCCCGCUGUCUCCUCUCCAAGAACAAGCAGAGCCCGGGCCACUGGCCCUUGCCCAAGGCAGGGAAGAAGGAUGUGUGUGUCCAGGAAGGAAAAAAAGGUGGAUCAGUGAUUUUACUUGAAAACAAGCUCCAUCCCUUUUCUAUAUUUAUAAGAAGAGAAGAUCUUGAGUGAAGCAGCACGCGACCCAGGUGUGUGUGAAUUGAAUGGAGACGUUUCUUUUCUCUUUCUUUAAUUUUUGUUUUUGUUCUUUUUUUCUUUAAGGAAAGUUUUAUUUUACUGUUCAUUUUACUUUCUUGGUAACAAAAACUAAAAUAAGGAAUAGAAAAGCUGUUUUUCAGGCUGACAGUCCAAUUAAGGGUAGCCGAGACCUUGCAUGGUAGAGUAGGAAUCAUAGUGUCAGUGAGGUCCCGUGAGUCUUUGUGAGUCCUUGUGUCAUCGUUCGGGCACUGUUUUUUUAUGCAAGGGCAAAAAUCUUUGUAUCUGGGGAAAAAAAACUUUUUUUUAAAUUAAAAAGGAAAAUAAAAGAUAUUGAGGUCUUCCUAGUGUUACUUAAAUUAAGAUCAAGGUAAGAAACAUUGUAAAAAAAAAUUACAAAAGUGCUAUUUGUUUCCUAAAAACAGUGAUUUCUAUUAAAAAGGUGUCAGAACUGGAGAAAA